This 338-nucleotide unclassified non-coding RNA is filed under the name soil metagenome. RNAcentral describes it as "partial contains 5.8S ribosomal RNA, internal transcribed spacer 2, and large subunit ribosomal RNA". The stretch from base 1 to 121 matches the Rfam family "5.8S ribosomal RNA", at positions 35 to 154 of the family's 154-position model. The record is from RNAcentral.
GAUGAAGAAACGUAGCGAAAUGCGAUAAGUAGUGUGAAUUGCAGAAUUCAGUGAAUCAUCGAAUCUUUGAACGCACAUUGCGCCCCUUGGUAUUCCAUGGGGCAUGCCUGUUCGAGCGUCAUUUGUACCUUCAAGCUCUGCUUGGUGUUGGGUGUUUGUCUCGCCUCUGCGUGUAGACUCGCCUUAAAACAAUUGGCAGCCGGCGUAUUGAUUUCGGAGCGCAGUACAUCUCGCGCUUUGCACUCAUAACGACGACGUCCAAAAGUACAUUUUUACACUCUUGACCUCGGAUCAGGUAGGGAUACCCGCUGAACUUAAGCAUAUCAAUAAGCGGAGGA